Molecule: small RNA, 440 nt
Filed under: Pongo abelii (Sumatran orangutan)
Lineage: Eukaryota; Metazoa; Chordata; Mammalia; Primates; Hominidae
Description: processed transcript
Source: RNAcentral
GGGGCCGCGACCCGCAUCGGGAUCGCACCCGCUCCCGCUCCCGCUCGCGGUCCCCUUUGUCGCCCAGGUCCCGCCGCGGCUCUGCGCGGGAGCGCAGAGAGGCCCCAGAGCGCCCGACCCUGGAGGACACAGAGCCGUCGGAUUCCGGGGACGAGAUGAUGGACCCGGCCAGCUUGGAGGCGGAGGCCGACCAAGGCCUGUGCCGCCAGAUCCGCCAUCAGUACCGGGCGCUCAUCAACUCCGUCCAACAUUUGGGCAAAGAGAAAGCAAAGCAGCUGCGCUCAGACCUGAGCUCCUUUGACAUGUUAAGAUAUGUUGAAACUCUACUCACACAUAUGGGUGUAAAUCCGCUAGAAGCUGAAGAACUCAUCCGUGAUGAAGAUAGUCCUGAUUUUGAAUUCAUAGUCUAUGACUCCUGGAAAAUAUCAGGCAAAACAGCA